Molecule: non-coding RNA, 119 nt
Filed under: Postia placenta Mad-698-R
Lineage: Eukaryota; Fungi; Basidiomycota; Agaricomycetes; Polyporales; Adustoporiaceae
Source: RNAcentral
UGUUCGUCCUGGCGCAACCUUUACGUGGUCCUCGGGAUAAGUACUCUCCGACUCAAGCGAGGGUAUCAGCAACCUUAUGGGUUGUUGCUACACUCUCGGAUGAGGAAACUAGCAUGCGC